AACGAACGCUGGCGGCAUGCCUAACACAUGCAAGUCGAACGAGACCUUCGGGUCUAGUGGCGCACGGGUGCGUAACGCGUGGGAACCUGCCCUUAGGUUCGGAAUAACUCCCCGAAAGGGGUGCUAAUACCGGAUAAUGUCUUCAGACCAAAGAUUUAUCGCCUUUGGAUGGGCCCGCGUUGGAUUAGCUAGUUGGUAGGGUAAAAGCCUACCAAGGCGACGAUCCAUAGCUGGUCUGAGAGGAUGAUCAGCCACACUGGGACUGAGACACGGCCCAGACUCCUACGGGAGGCAGCAGUGGGGAAUAUUGGAAAAUGGGCGAAAGCCUGACCCAGCAAUGCCGGGUGAGGGAUGAAGGCUUUAGGGUUGAAAAGCUCUUUUCCCCGGGAUGAUAAUGACAGUACCGGGAAAAUAAGCCCCGGCUAACUCCGG
RNAcentral lists this ribosomal RNA (432 nucleotides) under uncultured bacterium. Its description in RNAcentral is "partial 16S ribosomal RNA". It matches the Rfam family "Bacterial small subunit ribosomal RNA", at positions 29 to 506 of the family's 1533-position model. The record is from RNAcentral.